UGUUUCAAUUCAAUGUGUAUUCUGGAUCAACUGCAUCCAAGGGAUUGUACAUCACCUUUGCAAUCUUCAAUUCACUUCAGGGAUUGUGGAUUCUGGUGUUUGGACCACUUUUCGAUUCUAAGAUACGAUUGAUCAUGUGCAAAAUGUGCCAGAGAACUCCAGAUGAGUAACAAUUGUAGAAAGCCAUGACUCAAAACUGUGCAAGUGUAAAAAACAAGACUGUGCACGCCACCCGG
This is a long non-coding RNA of Boleophthalmus pectinirostris (great blue-spotted mudskipper), 236 nucleotides long. RefSeq lists it as uncharacterized. NCBI's taxonomy places the organism in Eukaryota, Metazoa, Chordata, Actinopteri, Gobiiformes, Gobiidae. The transcript is spliced from 4 exons. The record is from RefSeq and is a predicted model, not a curated record.